UGAGGAAUAUUGGUCAAUGGGACGGAAGUCUGAAACCAGCCAAGUAGCGUGCAGGAUGACGGCCCUAUGGGUUGUAAACUGCUUUUGUAUGGGGAUAAAGUUAGGGACGUGUCCCUAUUUGCAGGUACCAUACGAAUAAGGACCGGCUAAUUCCGUGCCAGCAGCCGCGGUAAUACGGAAGGUCCAGGCGUUAUCCGGAUUUAUUGGGUUUAAAGGGAGCGUAGGCUGGAGAUUAAGUGUGUUGUGAAAUGUAGACGCUCAACGUCUGAAUUGCAGCGCAUACUGGUUUCCUUGAGUACGCACAACGUUGGCGGAAUUCGUCGUGUAGCGGUGAAAUGCUUAGAUAUGACGAAGAACUCCGAUUGCGAAGGCAGUUGACGGGAGCGCAACUGACGCUUAAGCUCGAAGGUGCGGGUAUCGAACAGGAUUAGAUACCCUGGUAGUCCGCACAGUAAACGAUGGAUGCCCGCUGUUGGUACCUGGUAUCAGCGGCUAAGCGAAAGCAUUAAGCAUCCCACCUGGGGANUCNNCCAGCAACGGUG
This 542-nucleotide ribosomal RNA is filed under the name uncultured bacterium. RNAcentral's name for it is "bacterial SSU rRNA". It matches the Rfam family "Bacterial small subunit ribosomal RNA", at positions 355 to 896 of the family's 1533-position model. The record is from RNAcentral.